RNAcentral lists this transfer RNA (74 nucleotides) under Nanobdellota archaeon. RNAcentral describes it as "tRNA-Arg". It matches the Rfam family "tRNA". Rfam says of the family: Transfer RNA (tRNA) molecules are approximately 80 nucleotides in length. Lineage: Archaea; Nanobdellati; Nanobdellota. The record is from RNAcentral.
GGGCCCGUAGCUCAGCUGGAUAGAGCGCCUGGCUUCGGACCAGGAGGUCGUGGGUUCGAAUCCCCCCGGGCUCA